RNAcentral lists this long non-coding RNA (412 nucleotides) under Hordeum vulgare. Its description in RNAcentral is "long non-coding RNA (HVUL_LNC013722)". The record is from RNAcentral. Lineage: Eukaryota; Viridiplantae; Streptophyta; Magnoliopsida; Poales; Poaceae.
AAGCUCUCACAUAGGAAGGAAGGAAGGAAGGAAGGAAAAACAUAACCAGCAACCGACGAACGAAUGGAUGUGUUGGGGAACCGCGAGAUGAGCUAUGGGUCGUUGAUGUGGAGUUCGACGACCAAGCCUUUUUGGUCCCAGCGAAGACCGCCGCUGACGAGCUGGCGUCGGCCUUCGUCGUUCGUUGCGCCGCCGCCACCUGCCACCUCGUCGGUCGUCACUGCCAGCAUCCUGCCGGCCGCCCCCGUGGUAGGCACGACGGAGCUCAGCUGCAGGACGACGCCAACCAGUACGAAGAGCAGCACGGUGUUUCGAGACACGGAGGCCAUCGAUGACCGAUCGCCUCGCCGCUGGUGGAUCGAGGAGCUUGCUGCUUUGAGCUCAGGGGGCCGGCUACCGUGUCUGCUGCUGC